UGUGUCCGUUCGGGACAAGGAGACAGGUGGUGCAUGGUUGUCGUCAGCUCGUGUCGUGAGAUGUUGGGUUAAGUCCCGCAACGAGCGCAACCCUACGUUAGUUGCUAACAGGUGAAGCUGAGCACUCUAGACGAACUGCCGUUGACAAAACGGAGGAAGGUGGGAUGACGUCAAAUCAUCAUGCCCCUUAUGUUCUGGGCUACACACGUGCUACAAUGGCCGGUACAGACGGAGGCGAAGCCGCGAGGCGGAGCAAAUCCGAAAAAGCCGGUCUCAGUUCGGAUUGCAGGCUGCAAUUCGCCUGCAUGAAGUCGGAAUCGCUAGUAAUCGCAGGUCAGCAUACUGCGGUGAAUACGUUCCCGGGCCUU
RNAcentral lists this ribosomal RNA (368 nucleotides) under uncultured Pelotomaculum sp. RNAcentral's name for it is "bacterial SSU rRNA". It matches the Rfam family "Bacterial small subunit ribosomal RNA", at positions 1012 to 1382 of the family's 1533-position model. The record is from RNAcentral. Lineage: Bacteria; Bacillati; Bacillota; Clostridia; Eubacteriales; Desulfotomaculaceae.